UCGGCGUUCUAUACAGCGUGGAGUCCGACGGAGAAUGGGGUCAUCUUCACCUCCAUCGGCCCCAUCUUCGACUCCGCCAAGGCGACGGUCCAGAUCGCUCGGGUCACCUUCGAUCCCGCCGACCUGGACGGCAGCAGGGACGAGGAGGUGAAGACAGAGAUGAAGGUGCUAACCCGCGCCGACGCCGGCAACAACGCGUUCGCGGCGUGCUCCCCCGACGGGCGCUACCUCGUCUUCCGCUCGGGGCGGUCCGGCCACAAGAACCUCUACAUCGUGGACGCCGUCGAGGGGGAGACCAGCGGCGGCGGAGUGCGGAGGCUGACGGAGGGGGAGUGGAUCGACACGAUGCCGG
RNAcentral lists this long non-coding RNA (352 nucleotides) under Musa acuminata (dwarf banana). Its description in RNAcentral is "long non-coding RNA (MACU_LNC006406)". The record is from RNAcentral. Lineage: Eukaryota; Viridiplantae; Streptophyta; Magnoliopsida; Zingiberales; Musaceae.